Molecule: ribosomal RNA, 385 nt
Filed under: uncultured bacterium
Lineage: Bacteria
Description: bacterial SSU rRNA
Rfam family: Bacterial small subunit ribosomal RNA
Source: RNAcentral
AAUGGAGGAAACUCUGAUGCAGCAACGCCGCGUGGAGGACGAAGGUUUUCGGAUUGUAAACUCCUGUCUUUUGGGACGAUAAUGACGGUACCAAAAGAGGAAGCCACGGCUAACUACGUGCCAGCAGCCGCGGUAAUACGUAGGUGGCGAGCGUUGUCCGGAAUUGCUGGGCGUAAAGGGCGCGUAGGCGGCCUGUUAAGUCAGAUGUGAAACCCCCAGGCUCAACUUGGGGAUUGCAUAUGAAACUGGGAGACUUGAGUACGGGAGAGGAGAGUGGAAUUCCUAGUGUAGGAGUGAAAUCCGUAGAUAUUAGGAGGAACACCGGUGGCGAAGGCGGCUCUCUGGACCGAUACUGACGCUGAGACGCGAAAGCGUGGGUAGCAAA